This 497-nucleotide ribosomal RNA is filed under the name uncultured bacterium. Its description in RNAcentral is "partial 16S ribosomal RNA". It matches the Rfam family "Bacterial small subunit ribosomal RNA", at positions 28 to 507 of the family's 1533-position model. The record is from RNAcentral.
GAUGAACGCUGGCGGCGUGCCUAAUACAUGCGAGUCGAGCGAACAGACGAGGAGCUUGCUCCUCUGACGUUAGCGGCGGACGGGUGAGUAACACGUGGAUAACCUACCUAUAAGACUGGGAUAACUUCGGGAAACCGGAGCUAAUACCGGAUAAUAUAUUGAACCGCAUGGUUCAAUAGUGAAAAACGGUUUUGCUGUCACUUAUAGAUGGAUCCGCGCCGCAUUAGCUAGUUGGUAAGGUAACGGCUUACCAAGGCAACGAUGCGUAGCCGACCUGAGAGGGUGAUCGGCCACACUGGAACUGAGACACGGUCCAGACUCCUACGGGAGGCAGCAGUAGGGAAUCUUCCGCAAUGGGCGAAAGCCUGACGGAGCAACGCCGCGUGAGUGAUGAAGGUCUUCGGAUCGUAAAACUCUGUUAUUAGGGAAGAACAAAUGUGUAAGUAACUAUGCACGUCUUGACGGUACCUAAUCAGAAAGCCACGGCUAACUACGUG